GGUGCCUACGGGACGCAGCAGUGGGGAAUAUUGCACAAUGGGGGAAACCCUGAUGCAGCGACGCCGCGUGAGUGAAGAAGUAUUUCGGUAUGUAAAGCUCUAUCAGCAGGGAAGAAGUUGACGGUACCUGAGUAAGAAGCCCCGGCUAACUACGUGCCAGCAGCCGCGGUAAUACGUAGGGGGCAAGCGUUAUCCGGAUUUACUGGGUGUAAAGGGAGCGUAGACGGCAGUGCAAGUCUGAAGUGAAAGCCCCG
RNAcentral lists this ribosomal RNA (254 nucleotides) under uncultured bacterium. RNAcentral describes it as "partial 16S ribosomal RNA". It matches the Rfam family "Bacterial small subunit ribosomal RNA", at positions 334 to 605 of the family's 1533-position model. The record is from RNAcentral.